Molecule: ribosomal RNA, 464 nt
Filed under: uncultured bacterium
Lineage: Bacteria
Description: bacterial SSU rRNA
Rfam family: Bacterial small subunit ribosomal RNA
Source: RNAcentral
AUUGAACGCUGGCGGUAUGCUUAACACAUGCAAGUCGAACGGUAACAGGCCUUCGGGCGCUGACGAGUGGCGGACGGUGAGUAACGCGUAGGAAUCUGCCUCAUAGUGGGGGACAACGUGGGGAAACUCACGCUAAUACCGCAUACGCCCUACGGGGAAAGCGGGGGAGUCUUCGGACCUCGCGCUAUGAGAUGAGCCUGCGUUAGAUUAGCUAGUUGGUAGGGUAAAGGCCUACCAAGGCGACGAUCUAUAGCUGGUCUGAGAGGACGAUCAGCCACACUGGGACUGAGACACGGCCCAGACUCCUACGGGAGGCAGCAGUGGGGAAUAUUGGACAAUGGGCGCAAGCCUGAUCCAGCAAUACCGCGUGUGUGAAGAAGGCCCUAGGGUUGUAAAGCGACUUUCAAUUGGAGGAAAACCUAGUCGGUCGAAUACCGGCAGCUUGACAUUACCUUUAGAAGAAG